Molecule: ribosomal RNA, 497 nt
Filed under: uncultured bacterium
Lineage: Bacteria
Description: partial 16S ribosomal RNA
Rfam family: Bacterial small subunit ribosomal RNA
Source: RNAcentral
GAUGAACGCUGGCGGCGUGCCUAAUACAUGCAAGUCGAGCGAACAGACGAGGAGCUUGCUCCUCUGACGUUAGCGGCGGACGGGUGAGUAACACGUGGAUAACCUACCUAUAAGACUGGGAUAACUUCGGGAAACCGGAGAUAAUACCGGAUAAUAUAUUGAACCGCAUGGUUCAAUAGUGAAAGACGGUUUUGCUGUCACUUAUAGAUGGAUCCGCGCCGCAUUAGCUAGUUGGUAAGGUAACGGCUUACCAAGGCAACGAUGCGUAGCUGACCUGAGAGGGGGACAGGCAACAGUGGAAGUGGGACACGGCCUAGACUCCUACGGGAGGCACAAGUGGGGAAUUUUGGACAAUGGGAGAAAGCCUGAUGCAGAAAUGCCGCGUGAGUGAAGAAGGACUUCGGUUUGUAAAGCACUUUUGUCAGGAAAGAAAGCCUGGGCCCUAAUACGGUCGGGGGAUGACGGUACCGGAAGAAUAAGCAAGGGCUAACUACGUG